GAGGAUAUGGCUCAAGUGGUAGAGAGCCUGCCUGGUGAGCUUAAGGCCCUGAGUUCAAAUCUCAGUACCUCCA
RNAcentral lists this transfer RNA (73 nucleotides) under Dipodomys ordii (Ord's kangaroo rat). It matches the Rfam family "tRNA". Rfam says of the family: Transfer RNA (tRNA) molecules are approximately 80 nucleotides in length. Their secondary structure includes four short double-helical elements and three loops (D, anti-codon, and T loops). The record is from Rfam by way of RNAcentral. Lineage: Eukaryota; Metazoa; Chordata; Mammalia; Rodentia; Heteromyidae.